CCUGCAACAAUAAACAAUCAAUUAAUCAAUUUAUUGUUGCAGGUAAACAACAACAAGGGAGAAUUAAGGGAGGAAUAAUAAUUAUUUCCCUAUUGUUGGUCCUUGGAGAGUUGAUUGCAUUGUUUUGUUCUUAUUUCAGUAAUUAUAAGACCUAUGAGCACAUUGGAAUGAAGUAUCUAGGUUUUCAUGUGUUUCCUCGUUGUAAAUAUAUUGCUUUUGAUCCCAUUGAUUGAUCCCAAUGCGAGAAUAAGUCAUUCAUCUAAAUUCUUUGACACAUUAUAGGUACAGUGGAACAUGUGAACGACCCAUAGAUGUAAAAAGGAAGAUCUUGCAUGCAAAUAUCACUAACAACGGCCGUUUAGUGAAGCCGAGGCCAGAGGAAAACAGAUUCACUGGCUUUUGAACUGGAGCCACAGGCUUAAUUAGGCCUCUUCCAGAACAUCAUCUGUGAGUAUCUGUGAGCAUGAGGCAGCUGGGUCUGGACGAAGUGGAUGCAGAGGACAGGAGGUUUUGGCGACAACAUACAAGAGUGGCCGAUUUCAGCAGAGAAGAAGAAGAAGAAGCCGAGGCCAGAGCCGCCGGGGGUGACGGGCCGGGACGAGGGCACAGUGGUGAGGUGAACACGUUGGGGACAUGAUAAACACUGCCGUGUGUUCCUGUACAAGCCGUGUUUCCAUGGCCUGCCAAGACCCAUAACACACACGGAACUGCUUCAGGGAGCCGGUGUGAAGCCGCAGGGAAAGGUGACUGCUGCCUGGGAGUGUGGGUGGACGGUAUGCUUCAGAGAAGGGACUUGCAGGUGUGGGUGUGGGGUGGACUGUGUGCUGCAGAGAGGGGAUUGGCAGGUGUGGGUGUGGGGUGGACUGUGUGCUGCAGAGAGGGGAUUGGCAGGUGUGGGUGUGGGGUGGACUGUGUGCUGCAGAGAGGGGAUUGGCAGGUGUGGGUGCCGCAAUGACUGGUGGUCCACCAGUCACCCACACCCAGUCCUCCUCCCACCACUGAUGGGUGUGGAUGUAUGCCCGAGUGGACUGUGUGCCGCAGAGAGGGGAGGGACUGGUAGGUGUGUGUGCCGCAGUGACUUACUUACUUUGUUGAAUCUCCGCUGCUUCCCACUGGCCCCUCUCCUCUUGUGCCUUGGAGACCAUUUCCGUUGCCACCUGGCGUUGGUGGCUGGUCAGGUACUGUUGACAGCCGCUUGUCCAGGUGGUACAGUUGCGGAAAUGAGUUCCUGCACCCACUGUGGUGAGCCUUCCCUCCAACCGGCAACGUCGCAGUAGUACUACUCAAGUGUUGCUGUGAAUGAACGGUGUUGGUCGUGUUCGGGUGUGAGUGGCGGAGAGGCUCACUGCUUUUCAGGAAGUGUAAGGGAGGCUUUAUUCAUAAUUAUCCAGCCUAGAGAGCACCAAGGAUUUCCACAGUGUCAGCAUACAGUCCUGUUUUCUGGUUCUGAAGGUACGGAGUAUCCAACCAGUGAGUCUUGGGGCUGUCGCUGUGAUCUUGUCGUAGUGCAAUGUGAAGAUGGCGUCAUCACUCACAUACAUUCCAAGAUCCUUGACGUGGUGUUUGAUUUCAAUGGUUUGCUGGUUGCAGAUGUAACUUGUUGUGGUCUUCAGCUCCUGUAGUGGGCCAUAUCUAAGUGCCUCAAAUUUGUCACUGUUUAGCAGAAUGUUGUUCUCCUCUGCCCAAGCUAUCACUCGGUCUAGGUCAGCUUGUAGCAGGGCAGUGUUACCGUGGGCUUGUACAUGUUUAAGGAUCCUCGUGUCGUCUGCGAAGGAUGUGGCCUGCGCGUGCUGGAGGUCUUGGUCGAUGUCUUGUAUCAUGACCAGGAACAAUAGUGGUACCAGCACCGAGCCUUGAGGAACGCCACUUUUGACUGGGCUGGGUCGAGAUAAACUGCCCUGGACUGACACCUGUUGAGUUCGGCCUGUGAGGAAACUGGAUCCAUCUUCCUAGGUUACCGCUGAUACCAUGAGCCCUGAGUUUGUGUAGAAGUAGCCCAUGGUCCACCUUAUCGAAGGCCUUGGCAAAGUCUAGGUAGAUGAUGUCUGCGUUCCUACGAUCCUUCACUGCCUCAAGUAUUCCUCGGUAGUGCUUCAGUAGCUGUGAGAGACAGGAACAACCUCUCCUAAAUCCGACUGUCCCUCGUUUAAGGCAUUCUUCUUUUCUAGAUGGUCGAUGAUGUCGCCCACUCACCCUCCGACCAAUGGUGGGUGUGGUUGGAAUAGGGUGGACUGUGUGUCGCAGAGAUAAGGAUGACUGUAGUAGCCAUAACAUUGCUGGAAGGGUCGUGUGCAUGAUAUUAAUGUACCAUUUUGUUGUGCUCUCAUUAUUACUACAUCAUAUUAC
Eriocheir sinensis (Chinese mitten crab) is the source of this 2346-nucleotide long non-coding RNA. RefSeq lists it as uncharacterized. NCBI's taxonomy places the organism in Eukaryota, Metazoa, Arthropoda, Malacostraca, Decapoda, Varunidae. The record is from RefSeq and is a predicted model, not a curated record. The transcript is spliced from 3 exons.